GCAGAAAAAUCCCUGAAAAUCCAAAUCCCUGACAUUUCAACCCGAACUCAUCUGCUCCUCAGCAGAGCUUCAGCAGUGACAAAUUAAAUACUCAUGGACAGUCAGGCCACUGGGGACUGAGGUGAGGACAAAACAUUCUGAAGGCAGCAACAGAGACAUCUUGUACAGGCCACUGGAAAUGACAAAUGCAGCUCCCAGGAUGGUUUCAGGACCUUGGGUCAGGUCCCUGUUCCCAAUCCAUCAGAGAUGGGUUUCAUGGAGCCACAGAGUGGUUGGGUUUGGGGUGGAGGGGCCUUAAAGAAGAUCCAUUUCCACCCCCUUGCCACAGGCAGGGACAUCUUCCACUAGACUUUAACCCCAGAAAUACAGAGGGUGACUUUUUUUAUGCUGAUGCAAAGCCAAAGCUGGGACCAGGCACAGAGGUGGAAGUGAGAUCUACAACUGCCUGCAGGAUUAUUUCAUUAUUACAUUUUUAUUUUUUUAUGAUGGUAUUAUUACCUCUGAGAACAAGAAAAGAACAUCAGGCUGAUGAUGCUGUCCCAGAGCUCUGCCCCUCAAGACAAGGAGCUAGGAAUGACCAGGAUACAUUCCUUUCUGCUCACCAUUUUUCCAUAGAUUAAAGGAAUAACCAGCUUGCACC
This is a non-coding RNA of Taeniopygia guttata (zebra finch), 640 nucleotides long. The record is from RefSeq and is a predicted model, not a curated record. NCBI's taxonomy places the organism in Eukaryota, Metazoa, Chordata, Aves, Passeriformes, Estrildidae.